CGUAAGCCGCCCCUUGGAGGUGAAGGACCAGGGCCCAGGGGCUGAGUUCUGUCCUGGUCAUGCCCGCCUCAAACCCACGCUGCCAUCACUGCCACGGCGCGGCCAUCACUCCCGCCGGCAGCACUCGCAGCCACUCCGGCCCAAACCUCCUGUCCCGGCAAAACCUCGAGUGUGCCCCAGCAAAUCCUCGACCCCGCUGACAAAUUCUCAGUCAGCGAGCGUCGUGUGCUCUUUUGCACAACACAUAUGCUACCUUAAUCAACUCCACGGACGCUGCGCCAACACCGUCUUUUCGAUGUCCUAGGACCUCGCGGCACAGAAUUAAGAGGAAAGUCAUACUGGACUACACCAGGCAAAAGACCACCGCGCAAACUAGGUACCAAGUCCUACUGAACCAGCCAGUUUUGCCUGCGUCAGGGGUGUGGGGCUGAGUCCCACACCCCUAAUAAAGAUGACCAGGUGUGUGCGAAGUGCGGGCGGCGCUUACUCGGCGACGGGCAGCGCUGCCUGCAGGCAGUCGUACCAUGGGGGGGCUCACGUUCUCACCAAGUCCAAGUGUGCAAUCACUGCGGGACGGUGUGGGUGAGUCCACUUUGCGGGCAGGCGGCUGGCUGGGUGACGGCUGGGUGGCUGGGUGACGGCUCAGAUGGGCUCAGUGGGUGAUGGCUGGCUGGGUGACGGCUCAGUGGGACUCAGUGGGGCUCAGUGGGGCUCAGUCGUGGGCUCAGUGGGGUUAAGUGGGUGACGGCUGGGUGUGUGAUGGGACAGGGUUCAAGGCAGGUUGGCGAGGUCCCGUAGGGUGCAGCCGAUGCCCAGACCCGUAAGCAGACAGCAAACAGUUUGCAGUGGCAGAGCAGAAGUGCAUGGCUGGUCGAACGCCGGCUGGGUGACGGCUCAGUCAUGGGCUCAGUGGGACUCACUCACUCUACCCUCCCGACGGUGCAGGGACGUGACGUCAACUCCGCAACCACGCGCUGGUGGAGAUGCUGCUGGGGCACAAGCGACCUGCAUCGCUGCAGACUGGCGGCGGCGGC
RNAcentral lists this long non-coding RNA (1034 nucleotides) under Chlamydomonas reinhardtii. RNAcentral describes it as "long non-coding RNA (CREI_LNC001366)". Lineage: Eukaryota; Viridiplantae; Chlorophyta; Chlorophyceae; Chlamydomonadales; Chlamydomonadaceae. The record is from RNAcentral.